Molecule: long non-coding RNA, 631 nt
Filed under: Rattus norvegicus (Norway rat)
Lineage: Eukaryota; Metazoa; Chordata; Mammalia; Rodentia; Muridae
Description: long non-coding RNA NONRATT027426
Source: RNAcentral
UUUAUAGCUUUAAUUUGCAUUUUGUCACUGAACCAGGAAGUGCCUAGAGAGGGCCCGGCACCUGCAGGACUGGCUCAGCACCUCUGCCUGAUGAAAGGUGACUUGGAUUUUACACAUCCGUCCGUCCGUGCUAACCUAGACCAUCCCUGUCUGUCCUAUUCAACAGGACCAGACAAUAAUCAGGAAAGCAAGUGCAUAAAAACCCAGCAGUGUACUUGUGAACCUCAGUGAACCAGCCUCAGAACGUUGGCUUGUGAAGGCGGCCCUACUUCCUUGCUUCAGCGUCCGCAGCAUUCCCGCUCGUCGCCUCCUACUCUAACCCUGUCAGAAACACCGCCUGCUUAGGAAAGACCAGGACUAGAAAAGGCCGAUGUGAAGCGAUCCGAGGUGGAGCUGUGCAUCCAGGCUGAGUCUGAGGAAGAAAACAUGGAACCCGGAGCCGAGACUCUGGCUGUCCUUGGCAAAUGCAUCUCUAUAAAGGCAGAAGCUCCCACCGUCCUGUGUCCACCUUUCCUGCCUUCCUCUUCCUCCAAGUGCCUCAGCCACUCUCACACUCCUCCCCUCCCCAAGUCUGUCUGGGUCUUAAUGCCCUUCACGAUUAAACAUCACCAGCCUCCUGCUGUUCACCACC